This is a long non-coding RNA of Cyprinus carpio (common carp), 263 nucleotides long. RefSeq lists it as uncharacterized. The record is from RefSeq and is a predicted model, not a curated record. NCBI's taxonomy places the organism in Eukaryota, Metazoa, Chordata, Actinopteri, Cypriniformes, Cyprinidae. The transcript has 3 exons.
UUUGUUUCUCAUGUCUCUAGUGUUCAGAUUUGUCUGGCUCUGCGGUAUCUCCAUGAGAAGAAAAUUCUUCACAGAGAUAUUAAACCUCAGAAUAUCUUCCUGACUGAAGAUGGUUACAUCAAUCUUGGAGAUUUUGGAUGCUCAAAAUCAUUGGAAAGAGCUGAUGAAUAUGCUAAUUCAGUCGUGGGUGCAAAGCUCUAUGUCAGCCCAGAAGUUUAUCAGAAGAAAUAUAAUUUCAAAAGUUAAGCUAUUGGACAACUGAG